This 229-nucleotide long non-coding RNA is filed under the name Pan troglodytes (chimpanzee). RNAcentral describes it as "long non-coding RNA NONPTRT012800". The record is from RNAcentral. Lineage: Eukaryota; Metazoa; Chordata; Mammalia; Primates; Hominidae.
GAAAAAAAUAACAGACAAUUUCAAAGAUGUGCAAAGAUUUCUCAAUGAUAAUUCUAAGAUCUGACUGAUCUGGGGAAUGCUGACAUCCUUUCAAGCUCUCACUCUGGGAGAAGCAAGCUACCACGUUGUGAAAAGCCCUAUGGAGAGGCCCACAUGAUGAGGAACUGAAGCUUUCAGCCACCAGCCAGGGAGGAAUGGAGCCCUGUCAGCAACCAUAGGAAUGAACUUG